GGGGUUCGAAAUAGACUUACCUCCACGUGGUGUACCCUGGACAACGUAUAUUCAUACGGCGAAAAAGGUCUA
RNAcentral lists this ribozyme (72 nucleotides) under Rodentolepis nana. RNAcentral's name for it is "Hymenolepis nana HDV ribozyme from F. prausnitzii". It matches the Rfam family "HDV ribozyme from F. prausnitzii". The record is from Rfam by way of RNAcentral. Lineage: Eukaryota; Metazoa; Platyhelminthes; Cestoda; Cyclophyllidea; Hymenolepididae.